Long non-coding RNA from Nasonia vitripennis (jewel wasp), 468 nucleotides. RefSeq lists it as uncharacterized. NCBI's taxonomy places the organism in Eukaryota, Metazoa, Arthropoda, Insecta, Hymenoptera, Pteromalidae. The transcript is spliced from 4 exons. The record is from RefSeq and is a predicted model, not a curated record.
UUUUGUGGAUUUUUGUGAAGUUUGUUUGUGCUGUACUUUGAUGGAGACGUUUAUUCCGAGAAUGACUUUACUUCGUUGCUCGGGUUCGACGUGAAGGAAGAUUUGAAGUACUGAACUUACGCACGCACGAGAAAAUUGUCGUGCUGGUCGUGCAAUGAAAUGCGUACGAGCGAAGAGAGACGGCGCUGGAAGAAUAUAUAUAGCGAGUUUGUACAGUGCGAGUGGGGAGUCGCGUCUACGGCUAUAAAUACUCGUAAGCAGAGCUACACAGAGCCCACGCGUUACUGCUUGCGCCAGACCAUCCGCCGCCGCCGCCGCCGCCGCUGGGCCAUCCACCGCCACCGCCGCUACUCCAGCCGGACGAGUGGGAAGCAGGCCUUGACGAGACCAACGCCAAGGCCGACGGCACCGCCGAUAGCCAGGGCCUUCUUGGCUAGGAUAGCCUUCUUCAGCAGAAGGAAUCUCUUU